Drosophila subpulchrella is the source of this 2537-nucleotide long non-coding RNA. RefSeq lists it as uncharacterized. Lineage: Eukaryota; Metazoa; Arthropoda; Insecta; Diptera; Drosophilidae. The record is from RefSeq and is a predicted model, not a curated record. The transcript has 4 exons.
GGGGUCCCGGAUAAUAAAACGUUUGUUACGAACUGCUUAUGUUCGGUGGCAGUGCCAUAUCUCAGGGGCAGGGUACCCCUAAUGCCACAGCUCGAAACAUAAAUAUCGAUAACUCCGCGGUCUCACAUAAUCCAUCGGUCAUUACUAAGAACAAAAACGUAAACAAAGGUAAAUAUCUACAAACAUGGACGGAAAAAUGGAUUAAAUUUGGUGGCGCUCCCACCCAACCAAGGAUGUCCUCAAGAUGCUGCAUGCCACCACCCAUUCUCUGCCGGAAGGAGCCCCCUCCUCGCGACUACUGCGGUUCCAUCUCCCGCACUAGGAAAGUUUACUCACACAUUGUGGGUUUUACAAAUGUUUAAUGAAUAUGCGUUUAAGACCGAAUAUUUGGCCGCCGUCUUAAUUAUUUACGCGGUCAAAGCAGAGGAUUUGUUUUGCUGGAAAAAGGGUACAGGCGCCGCGGAAAAUUAUGCUAAACCAGUCAUGUAUUGGUAGAGCUCGCAUGGAAACACGGCCCUCAAAAGAGACACACGCGAUGCGCGUGUGUAUGGUCACCUUAUCCUGAGGAGCUCCAUUGGAAAAGAAAGGACAGGCCAAAAAGGCAAACGACGAGGACAAAUAAAGAUCUCGGGUCUAAGUCCGGAUAAAUUCACAAACAAGGAACCACUAUUGGGCCGGCCCUGGAGGCGAUGAUAGCCCGGGCUGAAGACUUCUCGCCGGAGGCCAGCAGCGAUACGGGUCUCCAAGAAAGAAAACUGGCGCACUACGGUGAGUUGUGCAAGGGCAGUCAGAGGAUCGGCCGCCCGACAAAACGGCGGUACUUCUCAACGCCGCGAUGCGACGGCUGGAAGUUCCCGAGAUGAGGUGGACGUGGUAGACCGGAACGGACUCACCGGGAAAUGCUUGAUGUCGUCGGCGUCGACUACGAAAGGCGUUUAUGGCUGGUCGUCUAUGCGGGUCGAACGGUCACCGGUUGCUGGCAGCCAAGACGGGGCUGGUACGUAUGGCGAAGUCGCGCAGAUAUCAAUAGAACUCCCAAGUUAAUAUCCCGGGGCCCGUUGUGUUGGGACCCCGGCUGCCUUUAUAAAUGAUUAUUAAUAGCAUUUAACAAACUACCAAGUAACUUUCCUAUCACUCACUAUCAUUAAAUUUUAAGCACAAAAAAAUUUAUCCUAGCACUUCCAGCUGCAUCUGCCUGGUUGGACAAUAUGGCUACGACUAUUUGAUAUCUGCUGAUCAUCGUUCCUUCCCCGCCAUGUUACAUGGCCUCUCCCAAAAUUGGGUCAUUGGAUACAUGGGUCGAUUUAAGGUAAUCCCAGAGCGAAACGGGAUUAAUCCUCAAAUGGCCAGAUCGCCGGCCAGAUUCAUCCCGCUGCUGCAACUUUCGCCCUAUCGACCUAAUCGAUAAAGUCCCUCCCAUUAUCGACUCCAAUUGCAACAUCAACCAAAGAUUUCGAGAGGCGCUGCCCGGAGUUUCAGCAGAACGACGAAAUAAUUGGUAGCUUUGGAGAUACGAUGGGAUUCAACACGGCACUGAUACCAUCCUGCAGGAUUUGCUGAAAUCACUCAGCACGAUGUUACGGCGGAAGACUUCUUGGCCUGGCUUGGCGAGCAGUGUACGGGCUCGCUUAUCGUAGCGCUGCCGGCUCGUCUGGUAUGCACCCUCCAGUUGAUUUUGCACCUUGGCGUGGAUUACCCGAAGCUUGUCCUUGGUCUGCAUUCCGGCCAUUUCAUGGUCGACCAGGGACCUGAGUCGUCUGGCUAGCUUUUAGCUGGAACCGUUGGGGAACAUGUGAUGGCCGAAUAAGGUGAAGAACGGCGUUUCUCCUGUGGCUGAGUGGACAGUGUUUCGGAUGGCCACCUUAAUCUCCGGCAGAUGUGCAUCCCACUCCCGGUGAUCUUCUUCCAAGAAGCUGCGAAUUGCGGCCAAGACAUUCCGGUUUACCCUCUCCGCAGCAUUGCUCUGUGGUGAGUAUACGGGAGUCCUCAUGUGCUGUAUACCGAAGCCCUCAACCAUCUCCUCAAACGCCUUGGAUACGAACUGUUUGUCGUUGUCCGAAUGUAUCGUCUCAGGCACCCCGAACUUGUAAAAUACCUCGUUUACCAGGAAAUUUACUACGUUGGAUUCCGUCGCCUCCUUCAUCGCCUUUUAGAAGGUGUACUUGGAGAAGUGGUUCACCACGAUGAAAUUCCAGGCGUGUCCACUCUUGCACCUGGGAUACUUGCCCUGGAAAUCGAUCUACAGUUUCUGGAAUGGUCCCUACCCUUCUUCCGAUCCCGACCUGCAUCCGGAAGUUUGGCGCUUUUGACUCCUUGCAUACCUCGCAACCCCGGACGUAUUCCCGCACCUGGAUCGUCAUCCCCGGCCAAUAGAACUGGCGUCACAGGGUCUCUAAGGUCUUCGUCAUCCCACCAUGGCCAGCCUUGGGGUCCGAAUGAGCUCGCUCUAUCAAGCUGUGCGUCAGGUUUUGCGGAAUCCCCAGCUUCCAUUCGGAUCCUUCCAAUUCCUCGUCCAUCCUCGGAUAACUCAUGCGCUU